UAGGGAAUAUUGCACAAUGGGGGAAACCCUGAUGCAGCGACGCCGCGUGAAGGAAGAAGUAUCUCGGUAUGUAAACUUCUAUCAGCAGGGAAGACAAUGACGGUACCUGACUAAGAAGCCCCGGCUAACUACGUGCCAGCAGCCGCGGUAAUACGUAGGGGGCAAGCGUUAUCCGGAUUUACUGGGUGUAAAGGGAGCGUAGACGGAUCUGCAAGUCUGGAGUGAAAGCCCGGGGCUCAACCCCGGGACUGCUUUGGAAACUGUGGAUCUAGAGUGCCGGAGAGGUAAGCGGAAUUCCUAGUGUAGCGGUGAAAUGCGUAGAUAUCGGGAGGAACACCAGUGGCGAAGGCGGCCUACUGGGCACCAACUGACGCUGAGGCUCGAAAGUAUGGGUAGCAAACAGGAUUAGAUACCC
Molecule: ribosomal RNA, 415 nt
Filed under: uncultured bacterium
Lineage: Bacteria
Description: bacterial SSU rRNA
Rfam family: Bacterial small subunit ribosomal RNA
Source: RNAcentral